RNAcentral lists this ribosomal RNA (465 nucleotides) under uncultured bacterium. RNAcentral describes it as "partial 16S ribosomal RNA". It matches the Rfam family "Bacterial small subunit ribosomal RNA", at positions 338 to 795 of the family's 1533-position model. The record is from RNAcentral.
CCUACGGGGGGCAGCAGUGGGGAAUUUUGCGCAAUGCUCGUAAGAGUGACGCAGCGACGCCGCGUGAAUGACGAAGGCCUUCGGGUCGUAAAGUUCUUUCGACAGGGAAGAAAAUGCCUAUAAGUAACUGUGUAUGUAUUGACGGUACCUGUAUAAGCAGCCCCGGCUAACUCCGUGCCAGCAGCCGCGGUAAUACGGAGGGGGCGAGCGUUGUUCGGAGGGACUGGGCGUAAAGAGCACGUAGGCGGUGUUGUAAGUCAUUAGUCAAAGACUAGAGCUCAACUUUAGUAAGGCUAGUGAUACUAUAAUACUAGAGUAUCAGAGAGGAUUGCAGAAUUCCUGGUGUAGCGGUGAAAUGCGUAGAUAUCAGGAGAAAUACCGUUAGCGAAGGCGGCAAUCUGGCUGGAAACUGACGCUGAGGUGCGAAAGCGUGGGUAGCAAACAGGAUUAGAUACCCUUGUAGUC